This 76-nucleotide transfer RNA is filed under the name Sphingobacteriales bacterium TSM_CSM. RNAcentral's name for it is "tRNA-Ile". It matches the Rfam family "tRNA". From Rfam's summary of the family: Transfer RNA (tRNA) molecules are approximately 80 nucleotides in length. Their secondary structure includes four short double-helical elements and three loops (D, anti-codon, and T loops). Lineage: Bacteria; Pseudomonadati; Bacteroidota; Sphingobacteriia; Sphingobacteriales. RNAcentral also lists the same sequence under 1 other name. The record is from RNAcentral.
GCCCGGUUAGGCAAAUGGUUAAGCUGCCAUCCUGAUACGGUGGAGAUUGCAGGUUCAAGUCCUGCACCGGGUACAA